This is an RNA transcript of Ipomoea triloba (trilobed morning glory), 821 nucleotides long. RefSeq lists it as uncharacterized. Lineage: Eukaryota; Viridiplantae; Streptophyta; Magnoliopsida; Solanales; Convolvulaceae. The transcript has 3 exons. The record is from RefSeq and is a predicted model, not a curated record.
AGGAAUCCUAUAGUCCACACGUAACCCCACUCUAUCUCUCUCCUUUUUCAGUUUUGAACUCCAAAAGUUUUCCUUCGGUUUCUUCGCUUUGCAGUUGACGGUACCUUUCAUGGCAGACAUUGGUGGCAGAAGGCAAACAAAGCGGUCUGGAGAGGCGUUUGAGGCGCCGAGACGAGUGUGAAGGAUACUUUGACUGCUGCUACUAGGGCAGUAGUUCCAUUUCAUCAUACUGUGUGGUACAUGACGGAGGGGUAAGAAAUUUGGUUUUAGGUUAUGCUCACUGUGGAAUGGUUGUUGCUGCUUGUUGGAUUGCAAAGCUUUCUACUCCUUGUCUAAUAAAUGCACUUGGCAACUAUCCAUAUUACAAACUUAAGAAAUUGUUGUUGCAUGAAUAUUUCAAGUCGGUUGGUGAGGGUUUCAAGUCCGGUGUGUGCCUUAAUCUGGAGACCAAAAGGAUGUCCAUGAAGUGGCGGGACACCAAGAACAAGGUGGACUGUGGAGUGUAUGUUAUGGGAUUGCGAUCUAGUUAGGGAUGACAAAUGAGAACUUAAUCAGUUACGUUUACAUUAUAUGAAGGAGAUUUGCACAGUUAUAUAUGUAUGGCACACAACCUCCAGUCACAGAGACCUGUGUACGUGAUUUAUUCACAAUUGUUAACUCUAGGUACGACCACUCUACCAUUAAUCACACAACCUAAUCACAUUAUUCUCCUGUUCUCGUACGUAGAUAUAGCAACUCCAGGUUUUAUGCUUCCUUAUUACCUAAUGUUAACUAUAUUAAUUACAAUCCUUCCAAAAUUAAAAUAUCUCUCAAUUGUCUUC